GGGUUCGCUAGUAAUCGCGCAUCAGCCAUGGCGCGGUGAAUACGUUCCCGGGCCUUGUACACACCGCCCGUCAAGCCAUGGGAGCCGGGGGCGCCUGAAGUCCGGGACCGCGAGGACCGGCCUAGGGCGAAACUGGUAACUGGGGCUAAGUCGUAACAAGGUAAC
This 165-nucleotide ribosomal RNA is filed under the name uncultured bacterium. Its description in RNAcentral is "partial 16S ribosomal RNA". It matches the Rfam family "Bacterial small subunit ribosomal RNA", at positions 1328 to 1500 of the family's 1533-position model. The record is from RNAcentral.